CCUACGGGGGGCUGCAGUGAGGAAUAUUGGUCAAUGGGCGAGAGCCUGAACCAGCCAAGUCGCGUGAGGGAGUACUGCCCUAUGGGUUGUAAACCUCUUUUGUCGGGGAGCAAAAUCCGGCCGUGUCCGGCUGUGAGAGUACCCGCAGAAACAGCAUCGGCUCACUCCGUGCCAGCAGCCGCGGUAAUACGGAGGAUGCGAGCGUUAUCCGGAAUGAUUGGGCGUAAAGGGUGCGUAGGCGGCCUGCUAAGUCUGGAGUGAAAGGUACCGGCUCAACCGGUACAGGCUCUGGAAACUGGCGGGCUAGAGAGCAGGAGAGGGCGGUGGAACUCCAUGUGUAGCGGUAAAAUGCGUAGAUAUAGGGAAGAACACCAGUGGCGAAGGCGGCCGCCUGGCCUGUGACUGACGCUGAGGCACGAAAGCGUGGGGAGCAAAUAGGAUUAGAUACCCGUGUAGUC
RNAcentral lists this ribosomal RNA (458 nucleotides) under uncultured bacterium. Its description in RNAcentral is "partial 16S ribosomal RNA". It matches the Rfam family "Bacterial small subunit ribosomal RNA", at positions 338 to 795 of the family's 1533-position model. The record is from RNAcentral.